CGGCGGACGGGUGAGUAACACGUGGGUAACCUACCUAUAAGACUGGGAUAACUCCGGGAAACCGGGGCUAAUACCGGAUAAUACAUGAAACCGCAUGGUUUCAUGAUGAAAGACGGUUUUGCUGUCACUUAUAGAUGGACCCGCGGCGUAUUAGCUAGUUGGUGGGGUAACGGCUCACCAAGGCGACGAUCCGUAACUGGUCUGAGAGGAUGAUCAGUCACAUUGGAACUGAGACACGGUCCAG
This 244-nucleotide ribosomal RNA is filed under the name uncultured Staphylococcus sp. Its description in RNAcentral is "partial 16S ribosomal RNA". It matches the Rfam family "Bacterial small subunit ribosomal RNA", at positions 96 to 334 of the family's 1533-position model. Lineage: Bacteria; Bacillati; Bacillota; Bacilli; Caryophanales; Staphylococcaceae. The record is from RNAcentral.